UAGCCUGCUAUGGAGGAUACUCUAGGGGA
Molecule: non-coding RNA, 29 nt
Filed under: Rattus norvegicus (Norway rat)
Lineage: Eukaryota; Metazoa; Chordata; Mammalia; Rodentia; Muridae
Source: RNAcentral